This 461-nucleotide ribosomal RNA is filed under the name uncultured bacterium. RNAcentral describes it as "partial 16S ribosomal RNA". It matches the Rfam family "Bacterial small subunit ribosomal RNA", at positions 29 to 523 of the family's 1533-position model. The record is from RNAcentral.
AACGAACGCUGGCGGCAUGCUUAACACAUGCAAGUCGAAUGCUGACCUUAAGCUUGCUUAAGGUUGGAGUGGCAGACGGGUGAGUAACGCGUGGGAAUGUACCCUUUAGUUCUGGACAACCACUGGAAACGGUGGCUAAUACAGGAUACGACCGGAAGGUGAAAGGUUUACUGCUACAGGAGCAGCCCGCGUUAGAUUAGGUAGUUGGUGAGGUAACGGCUCACCAAGCCGAUGAUAUAUAGCUGGUUUGAGAGGACGACCAGCCACACUGGGACUGAGACACGGCCCAGCCACCUACGGGAGGCAGCAGUGGGGAAUAUUGGACAAUGGGGGCAACCCUGAUCCAGCAAUGCCGCGUGAGUGAUGAAGUCCUUCGGGUUGUAAAGCUCUUUUCUUGGGGAAGAACAUGACGGUACCCAAGGAAUAAGCUCCGGCUAACUUCGUGCCAGCCGCCGCCGUAA